CGCUUUUAUACCAGCCCACCUCAUCACGGCCACCAGCAGGGCUCAUUACCAGCAGGCAAAUGACAGCAGAUAAACACCUCUAUGCUGCUACACAUGCAAGGACAUGUCGUGACUCAACCACUUUCAGCUUCAACCACACGUGUCCCUCUUCGGUGUCUGUCUGUUCCUCUCCACCCUCAGUUCCUGUCUCACCAGCAUCAUCCACAACCACCUCAGCACCCUUGGGAAGCUGUUUCACUUCUGUGCCAAACUGGGUAGACAGUUUCCAGAUACCAUGGCAGAAGCUACCUGAAGAGAUAAUGCAGAGUUUGGAAAGGCAGAAAAGACCCAGUCCACGACGAGAGAUGGUCAGGAUUGUGGUUUCUGAAAUUAUGAAGGUGUGAAACAAUCUAACCAAGCGCAACACUACAGAGAUAGGCAAAAGAAUGGUGGCCAAGUAUCCAAAAUCUGUACAGGAUGUCAUUAAGGGUGUUGUUGGAGCUGGGUAUCAUUCGUCAUUCAUCAUUCAUAGUAAAGCAACUUCAAGCGCGGGUUGAAAAUGUUAAACGACUCAACACACCAAAGAUAAUGAAACGCAAGGCAGCAUCAGAUGAGGGUGACACCGAAGAAAUUCCAGAUAUCUAGAAAGCAAGUUCAGGACACAUAUAGCUGUAUCAACUGGGAACUAAAAUAUUUGCCACUCUCUGAGACUGCAAAGAGUCAGCAAAAAACAAAAAAAGAGCGAAUGAAGAAGAUGUUUGAAGAGAUGAGCUGCAAUAUCAAUGAUGUGAAAGAAUUAGUACACUCAACCUUUUACACGGA
Molecule: long non-coding RNA, 801 nt
Organism: Plectropomus leopardus (leopard coralgrouper)
Lineage: Eukaryota; Metazoa; Chordata; Actinopteri; Perciformes; Serranidae
Source: RefSeq, a predicted model, not a curated record